This 293-nucleotide ribosomal RNA is filed under the name uncultured bacterium. RNAcentral describes it as "partial 16S ribosomal RNA". It matches the Rfam family "Archaeal small subunit ribosomal RNA", at positions 455 to 747 of the family's 1478-position model. The record is from RNAcentral.
GUGCCAGCCGCCGCGGUAAUACCGGCAGCCCGAGUGAUGGCCGAUCUUAUUGGGCCUAAAGCGUCCGUAGCCGGCCACGCAAGUCCAUCGGGAAAUCCGUCAGCCCAACUGACGGGCGUCCGGUGGAAACUGCGUGGCUUGGGACCGGAAGACCCGAAGGGUACGUCUUGGGUAGGAGUGAAAUCCCGUAAUCCUGGACGGACCGCCGAUGGCGAAAGCACGUCGCGAGAACGGAUCCGACAGUGAGGGACGAAAGCCAGGGUCUCGAACCGGAUUAGAUACCCUGGUAGUCC